AGAUUAAAACUCAAAGGAAUAGACGGGGACCCGCACAAGCGGUGGAGCAUGUGGUUUAAUUCGACGAUACGCGAAGAACCUUACCUGGCCUUGACAUAGAAAGAAUUUAGCAGAGAUGUAAAAGUGCUAGUUUACUAGAGCUUUCAUACAGGUGCUGCACGGCUGUCGUCAGCUCGUGUCGUGAGAUGUUAGGUUAAGUCCUGCAACGAGCGCAACCCUCGUGUUUAGUUACUAACAGAUUAUGCUGAGGACUCUAGACAUACUGCCUGGGCAACCAGGAGGAAGGUGAGGACGACGUCAAGUCAUCAUGGCCCUUACGGCCAGGGCUACACACGUGCUACAAUGGGGUAUACAAAGAGCAGCGAUACCGCGAGGUGGAGCAAAUCUCAUAAAAUAUCUCCCAGUUCGGAUUACACUCUGCAACUCGAGUGUAUGAAGUUGGAAUCGCUAGUAAUCGUAGGUCAACAAUGCUACGGUGAAUACGUUCCCGGGUCUUGUACUCACCGCCCG
This 510-nucleotide ribosomal RNA is filed under the name uncultured bacterium. RNAcentral describes it as "bacterial SSU rRNA". It matches the Rfam family "Bacterial small subunit ribosomal RNA", at positions 891 to 1396 of the family's 1533-position model. The record is from RNAcentral.